UGGGGAAUAUUGCACAAUGGGCGAAAGCCUGAUGCAGCAACGCCGCGUGAGUGAUGAAGGCCUUCGGGUUGUAAAGCUCUGUCUUUUGGGACGAUAAUGACGGUACCAAAGGAGGAAGCCACGGCUAACUACGUGCCAGCAGCCGCGGUAAUACGUAGGUGGCGAGCGUUGUCCGGAUUUACUGGGCGUAAAGGAUGCGUAGGCGGAUAUUUAAGUGAGAUGUGAAAUACCCGGGCUUAACUUGGGUGCUGCAUUUCAAACUGGAUAUCUAGAGUGCGGGAGAGGAGAAUGGAAUUCCUAGUGUAGCGGUGAAAUGCGUAGAGAUUAGGAAGAACACCAGUGGCGAAGGCGAUUCUCUGGACCGUAACUGACGCUGAGGCAUGAAAGCGUGGGUAGCAAACAG
Molecule: ribosomal RNA, 403 nt
Filed under: uncultured bacterium
Lineage: Bacteria
Description: bacterial SSU rRNA
Rfam family: Bacterial small subunit ribosomal RNA
Source: RNAcentral